GAUGAACGCUGGCGGCGUGCCUAAUACAUGCAAGUCGAGCGAACAGACGAGGAGCUUGCUCCUCUGACGUUAGCGGCGGACGUGUGAGUAACACGUGGAUCACCUACCUAUAAGACUGGGAUCACUUCGGGAAACUGGCGCUAAUACCGGAAAAUAUAUUGAACCGCAUGGUUCAAUAGUGAAAGACGGUUUUGCCGUCACUUAUAGCUGCAUCCGCGUGUCAUUAGCUAGUUGGUAAGGUAACGGCCUACCAAGGCAACGAUGAGUAGCCGACCGGGGAGGUGGAUCGGCCACACGGGAACGGAGACACGUGCCAGACUCCUACGGGAGGCAGCAGAAGGGAAUCUUCCGCAAUGGGGGAAGGCCUGACGGAGCAAGGCGGCGGGGGUUAGGAAGGUCUCCGGACCGAAAGACCCGGUUAUUAGGAAAGAACAAAUGUAUAGUGGAAUGUGCACGCCGUGACGGUACCUAAUCAGAAAGGCACGGCUAACUACGUG
RNAcentral lists this ribosomal RNA (497 nucleotides) under uncultured bacterium. RNAcentral describes it as "partial 16S ribosomal RNA". It matches the Rfam family "Bacterial small subunit ribosomal RNA", at positions 28 to 507 of the family's 1533-position model. The record is from RNAcentral.